This 480-nucleotide ribosomal RNA is filed under the name Caldimonas aquatica. RNAcentral describes it as "bacterial SSU rRNA". It matches the Rfam family "Bacterial small subunit ribosomal RNA", at positions 35 to 512 of the family's 1533-position model. Lineage: Bacteria; Pseudomonadati; Pseudomonadota; Betaproteobacteria; Burkholderiales; Sphaerotilaceae. The record is from RNAcentral.
GGCAGGCGCAUGCUUUAACAUGCAGUCGAACGGCAGCGCGGGCUUCGGCCUGGCGGCGAGUGGCGAACGGGUGAGUAAUGCAUCGGAACGUGCCCAGUAGUGGGGGAUAGCCCGGCGAAAGCCGGAUUAAUACCGCAUACGACCUGAGGGUGAAAGCGGGGGACCGAAAGGCCUCGCGCUAUUGGAGCGGCCGAUGUCGGAUUAGCUAGUUGGUGGGGUAAAGGCUUACCAAGGCGACGAUCCGUAGCUGGUCUGAGAGGACGACCAGCCACACUGGGACUGAGACACGGCCCAGACUCCUACGGGAGGCAGCAGUGGGGAAUUUUGGACAAUGGGGGCAACCCUGAUCCAGCCAUGCCGCGUGCGGGAAGAAGGCCUUCGGGUUGUAAACCGCUUUUGUUCGGGAAGAAAUCCUCUGGGCUAAUACCCCGGGGGGAUGACGGUACCGGAAGAAUAAGCACCGGCUAACUACGUGCCAGC